This 963-nucleotide ribosomal RNA is filed under the name uncultured bacterium. RNAcentral describes it as "bacterial SSU rRNA". It matches the Rfam family "Bacterial small subunit ribosomal RNA", at positions 8 to 900 of the family's 1533-position model. The record is from RNAcentral.
AGAGUUUGAUCCUGGCUCAGGAUGAAUGCUGGCGGCGCGCCUAACACAUGCAAGUCGAGCGGUAACAUGCUUCUCACCUUGGUUCGAAGGGGACUGGGGGUUGGGAAAUAGGAAUUAAGACUAAAUCUUUUUCUCAUUUCCUAAUCCCUAAUACCGUAACUUCGAGCUGAAGUGAGAAGUGAUGACGAGCGGCGGACGGCUGAGUAACGCGUGGGAACAUGCCCCAAAGUGAGGAAUAACUGCCCGAAAGGGUAGCUAAUGCCGCAUAUGGUCUUCGGAUUAAAGGAUUUAUCCGCUUUGGGAGUGGCCUGCGUACGAUUAGGUAGUUGGUGAGGUAAAGGCUCACCAAGCCUACGAUCGUUAACUGGUCUGAGAGGAUGAUCAGUCACACUGGAACUGAGACACGGUCCAGACUCCUACGGGAGGCAGCAGUGAGGAAUCUUCCACAAUGGGCGAAAGCCUGAUGGAGCGACGCCGCGUGCAGGAUGAAGGCCUUCGGGUUGUAAACUGCUUUUAUAAGUGAAGAAUAUGACGGUAACUUAUGAAUAAGCACCGGCUAACUACGUGCCAGCAGCCGCGGUCAUACGUAGGGUGCAAGCAUUAUCCGGAGUGACUGGGCGUAAAGAGUUGCGUAGGUGGACAAAUAAGCGAAUAGUGAAAUCUGAUGGCUCAACCAUACAGACUAUUAUUCGAACUGUUUGUCUCGAGAAUAGCAGAGGUAACUGGAAUUUCUAGUGUAGGAGUGAAAUCCGUAGAUAUUAGAAGGAACACCAAUGGCGUAGGCAGGUUACUGGGCUAUUUCUGACACUGAGGCACGAAAGCGUGGGGAGCGAACCGGAUUAGAUACCCGGGUAGUCCACGCCGUAAACGAUGGAUACUAGCUGUUGGAGGUAUCGACCCCUUCAGUAGCGAAGCUAACGCGUUAAGUAUCCCGCCUGGGGAGUACGGUCGCAAGAUUAAAAC